CCUACGGGUGGCAGCAGUGAGGAAUAUUGGUCAAUGGUCGUAAGACUGAACCAGCCAAGCCGCGUGCAGGAUGACGGUACAGAGUGUCGUAAACCGCUUUUAUCCGGGAACAAAGGCCGUGACGUGUCCCCGGAUGUAUGUACCGGAUGAAUAAGCAUCGGCUAACUCCGUGCCAGCAGCCGCGGUAAUACGGAGGGUGCGGGCGUUAUCCGGAUUUAUUGGGUUUAAAGGGUGCGCAGGCGGUGUGUUAAGUCAGCGGUCAAAGCCCGGGGCUCAACCCGGGCCCGCCGUUGAAACUGGCAGGCUCGAGUUGGAGGGACGUAUGCGGAAUGCGCGGUGUAGCGGUGAAAUGCAUAGAUAUCGCGAAGAACUCCGAUUGCGAAGGCAGCAUGCGGGCUCCACACUGACGCUGAGGCACGAAAGCGUGGGUAUCGAACAGGAUUAGAUACCCGUGUAGUC
RNAcentral lists this ribosomal RNA (459 nucleotides) under uncultured bacterium. RNAcentral's name for it is "partial 16S ribosomal RNA". It matches the Rfam family "Bacterial small subunit ribosomal RNA", at positions 338 to 795 of the family's 1533-position model. The record is from RNAcentral.